Molecule: unclassified non-coding RNA, 496 nt
Filed under: Borreliella burgdorferi (Lyme disease spirochete)
Lineage: Bacteria; Pseudomonadati; Spirochaetota; Spirochaetia; Spirochaetales; Borreliaceae
Description: partial 16S-23S ribosomal RNA intergenic spacer
Rfam family: tRNA (bases 133-206)
Source: RNAcentral
UCUUUUCUUUUGAUAAGAGAGUUUUUAAAACCAGUGUUAUUUUUGUAAGUUUAAGAGAAGUUUGUGUAUUGAAUUUUUUAUUUUUAAUAUUAAAGAGCUUUGUUAAACUUAGACUUAAGUUUAGGUCAUUUUGGGGGUUUAGCUCAGUUGGCUAGAGCAUCGGCUUUGCAAGCCGAGGGUCAAGGGUUCGAGUCCCUUAACCUCCAUUGGGCUUAUGUCCUAAAUUGUAAUUAAGUAUGUUUUUAAGCAACUUUAUUAAAGUAAUUGUUGGAAUGUGAAACAGAGGAAGUUAAAAUUUCUGGGUUAAGUUGAGAUCUGUUGAUAUUAAGAAGAAUCUCCAGAAGCAAAAGCAAGCUUUCGAUAAAACCCGAAGUUGUUUCGCUAAAGUGCAAGGAUUAAACAGGAUUGUAUUUUCCAGCAGCCUAUUUUAUAAACGAUCUGCAUUUAGUAAAUAGUUUUUAGUUAGGAAAUAAUGUAGAUUGCUAAGUGUGAUGUC